GAGAUAUAAAAACAAGGGAGAUAUAAAAACAAGGGAGAUAUGAACAAGGGAGAUAUAAACAGGGGAGAUAUAAACAAGGGAGAUAUAUGGAGAAAGAAGAAACAGGACUGAAUAAAUGUGUGCAGAAGGAUCCUGUAGCAGCGUCGUUCUUCCUGGCCAGUUGAGCGCGCGCGAGAGUUGGUGCCGAAACCCGGGACGAGAAGACCUGGGACGAAAAGACCUGGGACGAGGAAACCCGGGAAAAGAAACAUCUUCAGGCACGAGCGAAGACCCCCUGCUACAGGGAGGAUUCAGAACUGCAUAACGGGGAAGAAGGGGUUAAUAAAGGUUCCUGUGAAACAGACUGUUGAGAAGGAUUCAACUGCGUGAAUUCAGAACUCUUCAGCUGGGGAAAGGUACUGAUGAAGAGAAAGAAGAAAGAUGAAGACUGAAUAAACUGCUGUUAGAAGGACUGGUGGUCGCAUUGUUCUUGCUGGUCGAGAGCAGACGCGACAAUUGGUGGCCCGUACGGGGAACCGACUCCCCCACCGAGUUCAGAACUUUCAGCAGUCAGUGGUUGCUGGCAGGGUAAGUUCACGGUGAGUGAAACUUGCAACCCCAGGAGUUUGGGAAGGACCUCGGAUAAAAUAGAGGUGAGCAUAAAGUUGCCAGGAAGUAGGCACAAAGUAACCCAGGAGUUUGGGAAGGACCUCGGAUAAAAUAGAGGGGAAUAUAAAGUUGCCAGGAAGCAGGCACAAGGUAACAAAAGGUUCCCGGCUUUGGGACAAGUUAAGGUUCCCUGUUUGGGGACAAGUUAAGGAACUAUGAUAACCUCAGUGUAGUGAUCAAUAGAUCCUCGCUGUGUAGUUAUGCUUUUUUCUCCCAUUGACCCUUUGUGGGUAGGUCUGAUAGUUUUGGUCUUGUUUGUUCUGAUAUAUGGACUCUGUUACUGUUUGAAACUGUGUGUAGAGGCAGUCAAGACAGGUCAGAAAAUCCUUACAGAGCAACAAGAAAGUAUGUCGGAAAAGGAGAAGGGCUUAAAAAGAAAAAGGAAAAAGAAGACACAGUGUUAUCAGGUGGACAGAAAGGACGAAAUAAAAGAGCCGAGGUGGAGGAGGAAGGCGAAUUAGCUUCUGUGCCUCCUCCCUAUGCCUCCUCAGCAGCCACCUAUAGGUGGACCUUCUGUCCGGAGAUUUGGCGUAUUGACUCCCCAGAUGGACACACAGGUGAUCGAGGUUAUGGUCUCAUCACCACGAGGUAUUGUGUCCAUCCCCCCUGGGGAUCGAGUAGAUCAGGUGUUGACAUGGGCGAGAGGGUCUGUUUGUGUGUUUCCACAGGACCAGAUGGAACCUCUUUGGGUGCCGGAGAGAUUGGUGAGACGCUGCAAGAAUGAGGCUCCUGAUCCAGUUGCCCCUGUGGAUGUGGUGGAUGAUCCCACAAGCACAAAGGAUGGAGCCGAGAUGAGAGAUCCUUUCGGUGUUCCAGAAGCCGAUACCAGCUCGACAUGACAUUCAAAUUUUUCCACGCUUUUUGAUCCCUGAAUUCCCCUUAAAGAGAUAGCCCCGCUGGCCAUCUAUCCCUUGCUUCAGGGAAGAUGAGUGGGGAUGAGAGCCCUGGGAUGUAUGCUUGUUAUAGUGUGUGUGUGUGUGUGUGUGUUGGGCACAUGUGUUAGGUGCAGAGUGUGCAGGCCCGCACUUUCGCCAUGGUAGCAUAGGCUUUUGCUGCAGUGGAGGCGGGACAAUCUCCUCAGAUUCGGUUUGCCGCUCUAAAAGAAAUAAUGCUGCUUUAUGCCGUGGGGUGCGAGGCUAAGCACUGCACAGAGGAUAGCUUGCUGUUGGCAUCCUGUGGAAGGCAUGUCUGAUUGCAUGAAGGUUCAGUGUCCUAGUUCCCUUCCCCCAGGAAAAACGACACGGGAGCUGGCCAAGACCUCUCUGGGUGAUGAGCCUAAGGGAUGGUUUUGUGUAGGGCCCCUAUGCUUGCACACUGGGGAUCAGACCUCUACCUUCACCCAUGAGGCUUGCUUGCAGCAAUUAAGAUCUGGCCAUAGAUUAAUCAACAUCCUGGCCUUUUGAUGCACCUGCCACAAGCAAAACACAAUCUCCCCAGGUGUGGCUUGGCAUGAUUGAGAGGUAGUCAGUGAUAAGACUCCCUGGGCAUGUCACCAACCUAAGACAGGGAUCAAACCAAUGCUGUUUGUCACCCAAGGACGGGUAAGGGGCAUGGCUGCGGGGGGCUAUCUACAGACAUUCUCUCUGCCAAAAAAGAAAAAAGGGGGAAUUGUGGGGAGCGGAUGUGGCGGCAGUCCCAAAGGCGCCAGGGACUGCAGCUAAGUCAUAUGACUUGCACCUGACUUCCUCAUAUAAGACACAAACAUCUUGAGUGCUGCGCAGGUGUACCAGGAUACAGGUGAAUCCAAUUUGGUGGAGAUUUGCCCCUGCUGCCCUGAUUAGCUGAAGCCUCGUGACUGGUGAGGUGGCGUGGCCUGCUGUGCGUGGAUGGGAACUGAAAGUAUAAAAGAGUGAGAGGCCCAGGCUAGAGGGAGGAUUAUUAUUCGAGAGAGGAUUACUAUUAGUGGGGGAGAUAUAAAAACAAGGGAGAUAUAAACAGGGGAGAUAUAAACAGGG
Molecule: long non-coding RNA, 2603 nt
Filed under: Mus musculus (house mouse)
Lineage: Eukaryota; Metazoa; Chordata; Mammalia; Rodentia; Muridae
Description: long non-coding RNA chrX:110734150-110736753
Source: RNAcentral